This 7645-nucleotide long non-coding RNA is filed under the name Citrus maxima (pomelo). Its description in RNAcentral is "long non-coding RNA (CMAX_LNC001664)". The record is from RNAcentral. Lineage: Eukaryota; Viridiplantae; Streptophyta; Magnoliopsida; Sapindales; Rutaceae.
UGCAGCCGGUGGCAGGUGUGUGAUGACAGUUCCGGAAUCAAUAAUAGCACCUGCUGAUGAAAACACUGAGAUGGGGAUUGGUAAUUUUUUGCCACCAACACUAAGGCCAAUAAUGUCAAGGUUAUUUUGGACUCAAUUUCAUACUUUCAUUACACCGAUGCAAAAUAUAAACAAGUUAAAUUAACAUAGAUGACUUUUUUUUUUUAAUUCUAACUAAAAUGGAAAUUUUUUAAAGGAAUUAAAAUGGAUGUUUGAUCGUAUAAGUGCCAAUAAUAUGGUGAGCACUGGAUACAUGAUAGAAUUUCAUGAUUCCUCAUGAAUAAUGUUGAAGUUGUGAAUUAACUAAAUAACAUCACGUGAUAUUGUCGGUCACCAUGAAAUGAGUAUUGUCACCAACUAAAUCAUUAUUCUAAUACUAUGUAAAUAAAAUAAUAUAAUGAAAAGUUCAUGGAAUUAGAAAGCUCACAGGAAAUUUUUUUUAAUAAGAAAACAGUUAAAAUUAUCAAUAUGAACUCAGUUUUUAAUUAAUGAAAUUAACUUUGAAAAAUAGAAUGGGCAAUCAAGGCAUUUACUCACCUCGUUGUAUUAAAUUUAUACAUGCCUAUGUUUGGCAGAUAAAAAGCUACAACAACAUUGCAUUAAUGGGCCCAAGCUAAUGCGGCAAUUGUUGCUUGCUUUUUUUUUUUUUUUUUCCUUUAGCUUUUGCAUUUGCUUUUGCUUUAUAAUAAUAAUAAAUAAAUAAAUAAAAAUUUUAUUUAAUAAAUAUUACAUAAUUUUUUAUUUUUUAUUUUUACAUUAUAAUUUAUUAAUAAAUAUAUAAUUUAUUAUAACUAAAAAUAAAUAUUUAAAUAUUAAUAAAUAUGAAUAAUAUUAAUUUAAAAUUAAUAAUAAUAUAAAAUAUUAAUACAAUUUAAAUAUAUUAAUAUAAUAUAAUAUUUAAUUUAAAUUAAUCACAAAAAAAUUAAUACAGUACAGUGUAGUAACAAAUAUUGUACAAUAUUAUUAUAAUACAAUGUUAAUGCAAUACAACAUAAUACAAUAUACUAGUAUUAAAAUAAUGCAAUACAACAUAAUAUAAUACAGUAUGCCAAACGCACCCAUAGAGCAUUACAACAUAGCAGUAGAAGUGGUUUGGUUAUUGUCUUCGCUCCCUGAAUUAAAGUUGCAACUCAUAUCUAAACCAAGGAUUCAAUGUGAUGACAACCCAAGUGUCAUUGCCUUUGUGUUUGAUGAAAGGAAUCAGGUGCUCGAUCAAAUGUCUCAUUGGAACUUCAACAACACUGAUUGAAAUAGUGACUCAGCAAGAAUUAAGAAUAUGAUCUCGGGGGAUGAUGGUAGGUGGUUAUCUAAUAAAACAGGCAUCAGCAGUCCCUUGUAAAGACAGAGAAUUAUAGACAUUAGAUCAAAUUAGUUUUAUACAUAGGAUCAAGUUCACAGCUGAAAUUUUACAGUACUUGGCGAAGAAGAAACAAUACUUGGGAAAUUAUGAAAUCAGUAGGCUAAUUUUACAAUUUAUACGUGCGUAAUUCUUAAACCAGCUUUGCCCACACGAUAUAUCUUUCACGAUAUAUCUUUCAGGCGUAUUAUAAAGCUAUAAUCAUGAACAUUGUGUAGCCCUAAAGUCUUGUGCCCAAUAAAGAGAUACAACAAUGCUCUUUCGUUUUAGUUUUAUGCCCACUAACUAAUCGAUCAUGGAACAAGAUAUUUUUUUGUUAUUUUGGUGUAUACUUUACUUUUGAAAGUGGAAGACUCUUAAUCGGUCCAAAUUACUUCAGCCAUAAUGUGAAAAUUGAAACUUUAGAGCAUGACAUAAAUUUCCACUUUCUCGAGGAGAAUGAAAAGGCCCGAUAACUAUACAAUUUUCAUACAGAGUGGAGCUUUUAACAACCUCUUAAGAUCUUCAUAACAUACAUUUUGAAUUUUAGUUCUUAAAUUCCCUCAUUUUAGUUUAUAAAAAAUAAACAUGCAGUAAUAUUAAGAGCUAGUAAUAUUAUAUCUAUGAAUUCUUGUAUAAAUUGUAGCAUUAUAUUAUUGAUUGAGUAGAAUUAUAAAAUAUAAAAAUUAAUCAUGUUGAUCAUGUAAUAUUUUCAUUCAACUAACUAUUUUAUGCCAUGUUAGUUUGUAUAAAAAUAUUUCGGAUACAAGAGCUUGUAAGUGUGUCAUCAUCUAUCCAUGAAAUUUCACCCUAAAAAUAUUUUUCUUAACUUUUUAAUUAUAAAAUAUAUACAAAUCAUAAAAUCUUAAAUUAUUUCUUAGUAUAGUGUUUCUAUCUCCAUAACAUUAAGAUCUUAUAAUUUUGUUUAAAAAAAUAUUUAAAAUUUAAAAUAUAAUAUAAAUUAUGAAAUAGAAUGUGUGUAAAAUAUUUAGUAAAAGAAUAGUGUUUAAUUGAAUUCUCAUUCAUGAUAAGAAAUGAAUUAAUUUUUGGCAACUUUAAUUAAAAAGGGGAUUACAUAAGAAAUUUUGGGGAUGUCGAAAUUGAGAUGUAUGCAUUCAUAUAAAUUCAAAACUUAUGCAAAUUCAGUUUUUCCAUUAUUCCUUAACUGUUACUAAAUAACGACAGAAACUAAUAUGGUAUUUCCAAAAUAUAAAGGAUCAAAGUGUCGAUAUGUCAAAUUCAAGGUUAUUUUGGACUCAAUAUCAUAUUUUCGUUUGCACCGACGCAAAAUACAGAAAGCGCACAGGAAAACUAAAAUCAAUUACGACCGUAGCCGUCCAUUAUUACUCCAUUUAUGAAAAGAAUUCGUAUCUUAAACAAUUUCCAUUUCAAAUUGCUAUAUAUAAGUGAAGCCAAGAUAGCAAAUGUUUAGUUGGAAGCUUUGUGGACAUACAUUUAGCCACACAAAUAACAGUCCUCUGAGUGCAUAAUGUGGAUUCUCCUCAAGGCUUUUGUUCUUUUUAUAUGGCUUCCCUGCUCAUCCAACAACGGCGUCUCUGCCAACGACAACGACCUCUCCCACAGUUACACUGUUUCAGUCACUUCUCUAUUACCACCGACGGUUUGCAACCGCACACGGACAGCUUUGCCCCAAGGUUCUUAUAUUAUACUAUAUAUUUAUAUAUACACAUGGUUUUGAUUUCUCUCAUUGUUAUUGUUUUUAUAAUCAUAAUAAUUAUCACUCAUUAAAUGCUAUGUCUGCGUAUCUAAGGUCUCGGCAAAGCAUCUCUAGAAGUAGUAAGCAAGCACGGCCCAUGUUCUACGCUGAAUCAAGGGAAAAGUCCCUCCCUCGAAGAAACUCUGCGUAGAGACCAACAACGACUCUGUUCAAAGUAUUCCGGGCGUUUGCAAAAAACCGUUCCUGACAAUUUAAAGAAAACAAAGGCCUUUACCUUCCCUGCCAAGAUCGAAAGUGUAUCAGCCGAUGAGUAUUAUACUGUAGUCGCCAUUGGGAAGCCGAAACAGUAUGUUUCUCUCGUUUUGGAUACUGGUAGCGACGUCACUUGGACUCAGUGCAAGCCUUGCAUUCAUUGCUUUCAACAAAGGGACCCGCUUUUUGAUCCAUCCAAGUCUAAAACCUUUUCCAAAAUCCCUUGCAACUCUACGACGUGCAAGAAACUCAGUGGAUUAUUUCCUUCAGAUGGUCAAGAUUUACUACUUCUUUACUUUUCAUCACCAAAAUUAACACAUUUGAUAACAAUAUAUAUAUAUAUAUAGACUAUUAAAUCAAAACUAUACUGUGUUAUAAAUUAUGCCUAAAAAAAUAAGCACAAACAAGAUAAGCUGUAGAUCCAAAUUCCAUGUGAAAAUAAUUGGAGUUUUUUUUUUUUUUUGGCUUCAAAUAAAUGCAGACAAUUGCAAUUCCAGGGAAUGCCAUUUCAACAUUGCAUAUGUUGACGGCUCAGGCAACAGCGGGUUUUGGGCGACUGAUAGGAUGACUAUACAAGAAGCCAACAUCAAAGGAUACUUUACGCGGUACCCUUUUCUGUUGGGAUGUAUCAGGAACAGCAGUGGCGACAAAAGCGGGGCAUCCGGAAUUAUGGGUCUUGACCGAAGUCCGGUAUCCAUAAUUACAAAAACUAAAAUAAGUUACUUCUCAUAUUGUCUCCCCUCACCAUACGGCUCCAGAGGAUACAUAACCUUUGGCAAACCUAAUACUGUGAAAACCAAGUUCAUAAAAUAUACUCCAAUAAUCACUACUCCCGAACAGUCUGAAUAUUACGAUAUUACCCUCACUGGCAUAAGUGUUGGUGGGAAAAAACUUCCUUUUAGUACUUCAUAUUUUACUAAGUUGAGCACAGAAAUCGACUCGGGAGCCGUCAUCACCCGGCUUCCUUCACCCAUGUACGCAGCUCUGAGAUCAGCAUUUCGUAAAAGGAUGAAGAAAUAUAAAAGGGCAAAAGGAGCUGGCGAUAUUCUUGAUACAUGUUACGAUUUGCGUGCUUAUGAAACAGUUGUUGUACCAAAGAUUACAAUCCACUUCUUAGGUGGCGUUGAUCUUGAACUGGACGUGAGGGGGACAUUGGUCGUCGCUUCUGUGAGCCAAGUGUGUUUAGGCUUCGCUGUAUAUCCUUCGGAUACCAAUGCUUUUCUUCUUGGGAAUGUUCAGCAGCGAGGGCACGAAGUGCACUACGAUGUUGCUGGAAGGAGACUUGGUUUUGGUCCUGGAAAUUGCAGUUAAUCAAUAAUAAUUUCAAGUAUUGUAUGGUCCUUGCUGUACUCGAUCUAAAUAUUGAAUAAAGCCGUUUGUACUUGCAGUUAUUGAUAAAUAUUAAAUAAAGCUGUUUGUACUUGCAGUUACUAAUAAGUUGUGCGUUGAUGUGCAAUAGAACGGCCAGAAGCUAUUUCAUUAGAAAAACAUACGGCCUUUUUUUUUUUUGGACAAUAUAAAAUUUUUUAUUUCAAAGUUCAGGUUCAAGAUUGAACAUCAAUUGUAACACUAGAAAUCUUCAGUGAUGAAUGAAUGUGAUUUUGAGCAUUUAGAUAUGCGACAUAAUUCAGUGACUGAUUAUGAAUAAUAUUUAAGUUGUGAAUUAUUCAAACAACAUCAAGUGACACAGUGAAAAUUUUUAAUAUGAAUUUUGUUUUUAAUUAAUAUUUUUGAUUUCCUAAAAAAUCAACAUAGAAAAAUAUCAAGGGAUGUCAAGGGUACUUACCCACAUUGAGAAGCAGAAUGUAGAGACACUACAGCAGUAGAAAACGGCUAACGAUCCUUGAACUAAAGUUGCAACUCAUAUCUAAACCAUGGAUUAUUUAGUGUGAUGAUAACUCAAGUGUCAUUGCCUUGGCAAAAAAUCAAGUGUUUGAUGAAAUAUAUUACGUGCUCGAUCAAAUGUUUCAAACGAAACCUCAGGAACACUGAUUGAAAUAGUGACUUAGCAAGAAUUAAGGAUAUGAUCGCAGGUGAUGACAUUAGAUGACUAGUUAAUAAAACAAACAUCAGCAGUCUAUUGUGAAGGACCAAGAAUUUGUUGACAUUUGAUCAAAUUAGUUUUGGCCAUAGAACCAAGUUCGCGGCUGGAAUUUUACACUGAUUGACGAAGAAGAAAAAAAAAAUACUUGUUUGUAAACAUAUGAAAUUAUGAAAUCAGCGGGCUAAAUUUUUACAAUCUAUAUGUACAUAAUUCCGAUAUCAGCUUUGCACAUCAUAGAUGUAUUUGGGCGAAAAUUUUUAAAAUACAUAAAAGGUAAUAUAAUUAAUUAAUUCAUAUAUAUAUAUAUUUAAAUUUUAUAUAACUACUAUUUAUAUAUUUAUUUUUAAAAUAAAUAUAUAUUAUAAUAUUAUUUAUUUAUUAUAUAAUUAAUAUUACACCUUAUAGAUAUACUAAAAUUUCUGUUGUUGGGGAUGUUCUAAAGUUAUAAUCAUGAACAUUCUCUGUAAUGUAGCCCCAAAGUCUUGUGCCCAAUGAAGACAUUUCUUUUCGGCUUUCAGUUUAUUGGAUUGAGUGGUGUCAACUUGACGAUAUGUUUUUCAGGAUAAGCAGGACUGACAUCGUGGCCAAAUAUGAAUGGUUACAAAAUUUUCGACCCGCCAACCAAUAAUCAAUCAUGGAGCUAUAUACUUUUUGUCAUUUUUGGUGUUAUAUGCUUUACUUUUGAAAGUGGCAGACACUUGGUAGGUCCAGAUUAUUUCGGCCACAAUGUGAAACAGACUCGUGAUUGAAACUUUAGAAAAUGACGUUUCCACUUCCUGGAGGUUCAGCAAGAGCGUGCAACGCAUGGUCCGUAGAAUGAAAAGGGCUGACCACUAUUUUGACAAUUGGAUUGGGCUUCAAUUUUCAUGUGGAGCGGAGCUCCUAACACCCCUCUAAAACUUUUGUAACACCCCUUUUAAUUUUUAUUUUCCAAAAUACUCUUAUUUUAAUUUCUAAAAUACAAACUCAAGGAUUAAUAUUAACUAUUUUUCCAUAAAAGUAUACCUUAAAAAAUAUCUGUUUCUUACGUUUAAUUUAUAAAAUACAUACAAAUCCUAAAAUAUUAAAUUAUUUAUCUUUUAUUACGUAGUUUCUAUCUCCAUAACUCUAAACUAUUAUAAUCUUCUUAAAAAAUUCAAUUAAAUUUUAAAAUAUAAAAAUAUUUUCCAAAAUGGGGUGGGUGUAAGGCUUUUUAUUAAAAGAAUAGUUUUUAAUUGAAUUCUCAUUCAAGAUUAAAAAAAUGAAUUAAUGUGUAAUUUGGUUAUGAGGGUAAUUUCAAUUUUUUUUAAAAAAUCUUAAUAGAAUUUUGAGGGGGUGUCAAAAGUCAAAUAUAUGCAUUGAGAUGAAUCCGGAGCUUAUGCAGCUUUUAAAAAAACAAAAACAAAAACAAAACAAAAGCCACCUUAGCGCCUAAUAACUAACGACAGGGACUAAUAUCGUAAAUUCCAAUAUAAAAAGGAUCAAAGUGUCGUUACGUCAAAUUCAAUGUUAUUUUGGAGUCAAUUUCAUUACGUCGCCGCAAAAUUUAAAAAGCUGAAAGAGAAGCUAAAGUCAAUUACGUACGCAGGCAUCAAAAUAGUACUAUUAACAUAUCUUAAUGGACCAACAAUUUUCUUUUCGUUUUGGCCCACACCGAAGCUGAAGCAUUACUCUUCCAUUUAUUUUAUUUUUAAAAACAAAGCUUAUUUUCGGGAAGAUUCUACUGAUCUCUUUUUAGUUAAGAUUAUUAACUGGUUGGCUGGCUAUAUAGCUAGCUACAACCCUUAGGAGCAAAACCGACUCUCCUUUGGGCAACAUCGUACACAACCUCCAGCGUCUUUUGCUGCACAUUCCCAAUUAUAGCAACGUCGCUGUCAUCACUAUUGCCGGCGAAUGCUAGACACAUCUGCUUCGGACUACUGCCAAUCAAAAUCCCAGACCCUUCAAUGCUCACCUCAACUCCUCGGUUAAAGAAGAAGCUAAUCACAGGCACUGUAAUAGAAGUAUAAUUACUAAAGUCGUAGCACGUGUCAAGAAUCGACAAAGCUGGCGCCGUUGGAUAUUUUGACAUAAAUUUCUUAAACGUUGAUCGUAGGGCUGAGUAUGCAGCCGGUGGCAGGCGUGUGAUGACAGUUCCGGAAUCAAUAAUAGCACCUGCUGAUGAAAACACUGAGAUGGGGAUUGGUAAUUUUUUGCCACCAACUCUAAGGCCAAUAAUGUCAAGGCCGUAAAAGGAUGAGUCUGCGGUGGCAGUUGACAGUGGGGUGAAUUUUAUGGUUUUCGAGAGGCCAUUGCCUGCAUCUUUGCCAAAAGUGAG